AGCAAAGCACACUGCCGUAGACAGUAGGUGUCGGUUAACCGACGUAAGAACAAUCGCCUACCGAGGAAGAUGUGAUCAUGAAAAGAUUAUUUAUGAAACUUCACCUCUCUGUCUGCGGACGGAGAGGUUUUUUAUAUG
This 138-nucleotide small RNA is filed under the name human gut metagenome. RNAcentral's name for it is "Ribosomal protein L10 leader". It matches the Rfam family "Ribosomal protein L10 leader". From Rfam's summary of the family: This family is a putative r-protein leader autoregulatory structure found in B. subtilis and other low-GC Gram-positive bacteria. It is located in the 5' untranslated regions of mRNAs encoding ribosomal proteins L10 and L12 (rplJ-rplL). A Rho-independent transcription terminator structure that is probably involved in regulation is included at the 3' end. The record is from RNAcentral.